Long non-coding RNA from Canis lupus familiaris (dog), 1439 nucleotides. RefSeq lists it as uncharacterized. Lineage: Eukaryota; Metazoa; Chordata; Mammalia; Carnivora; Canidae. The transcript is spliced from 3 exons. The record is from RefSeq and is a predicted model, not a curated record.
UUAUGGCAUCAAAGUAGGCCCCACCCUGUCCCCCCCCUGCUCCCCUGGAAGUCCCCCUUGAUCCCCACCCACCUCACAUCAGCUACAAACCCCAGGCCCUCUUCUCCACUCUGCCACCACACAGGCUCACAGAAAAGACCAGAGAUUGUGACCCAGCGUCCCCCACACAGCUGGGGCUCGAGAAAGGUGAGGAAAGCGAAGUUCAGAGUGGCCUGCACAAGGCAAUGUGGUUAGGAAGGCGCUGAGCUGGGCUCCAGGGCCUUGCGUUUCACGCUCCAGGAAGCAGGACAACGGGCCUCCCAGGAUCAGCUGAAUCAGUUAGGACACUUCCAGCCACCUACUAAUCCCGAUUCCAGGUAUUUAAAAAGGAUGACCGGACCUUGGAAAGACUGGAAAGACGUCUGAAAUACAUCCGGAAGGAGAUGACACAUUAUCUUUCUUACUGAAGUAAAGAUCAUCCUCAUACAUUUCAAUCCUGAUAGAAAACUUCACUGUGGGUUAUCAAGUGGGAGAAAGGGUCAGUAGAGAUACUCGGCACCAGGGCGUAUUGGUUUCGAUACUUGCAUUUCAAUUUAUCAGAAGGGCUGGGUUAAUCUUGCUUUCACAGUAAACAGAGUGAGCACUUCACACCAAUUGUAGAGGAGUUUAGAUGCCAAAGGACAGACAACAACCCUUGGAGGGGGGAGAGAGCAUCCACCUGCAAAGGACACAGCUAUGCAGGGCUCAUAUCAGGUUAAAGGCUAUGCGAACGUAAGCCCUGGCCUUCUCCAGCAUCAGGAGGAUCCAUGCACAGAUCCAGUCGCACCCACAUCCUUAAGAUUCUCCUAGAGCCUGAUGCUGGUGCUUGUCACUGGGUUUGCAAAGAGAAACACAGCAAAAGAUAGAUAACAUGGUACUUCCCCAAUGGGACAUUAACCUGCCCUUGCCCUUGCAUCUCUCCCCAGUACCUUUUCCACCACCCUCUCAAAGAAUCUUCCCUUGGAAUAAAGUGCCAUAUUCUACAGGAUUCUCAGCAGUCCAUUCAGAAUGAGAUGGUAAAGAAAUAGUGUCUCUCUGCCCAAUGACUCGUACCAGGUCCGGAUGGGUAGAUAUGGGGUAAUCUCUGGCAUGAUAAGCUUUCUGUGGUUACAAGUGAGCACAAGCAAAAGUUCUGUAGCUUGAGUUUACUCUAACAAAACUGUUGUCCUUUUUUUUAGGACAAAACAAUAGUUUUGUUGUCCUUUUAUCCUAAAAAAAAAUAUACCAACCAGCAAGUCGUUAUUUGUGUGUGCUUGAGAAAUGGGUCCAGCAUAGAUGUAACCACUUGUGUAUCUUAGAUUCUAGGACCUGAAGGGUUAGGAGGGCAAAUAAUAGUUAAAAUAAAAAUUCUUAGGUUUAGGGAUGCCCGGGGGGCUCAGUCAGUUAAGCGUCUGCCUUCAGCUCAGGUCAUGAUCCCAGGG